CACGUAGGGGCCAAGCGUUGUCCGGAUUUAUUGGGCGUAAAGAGCUCGUAGGCGGUUGGGUAAGUCGGGUGUGAAAACUCUGGGCUCAACUCAGAGACGCCACCCGAUACUGCUCUGACUUGAGUCCGGUAGGGGAGUGGGGAAUUCCUGGUGUAGCGGUGAAAUGCGCAGAUAUCGGAAGGAACACCGGUGGCGAAAGCGGCACGCUGGGCCUCUUCUGACGCUGAGGCGCGAAAGCCAGGGGAGCAAACGGG
This 254-nucleotide ribosomal RNA is filed under the name uncultured bacterium. RNAcentral's name for it is "partial 16S ribosomal RNA". It matches the Rfam family "Bacterial small subunit ribosomal RNA", at positions 524 to 776 of the family's 1533-position model. The record is from RNAcentral.